CGUGCGCGAGCCCGACGCCGGCGCAAGCGCGCGCGCUCCUCGCGGACGCCUCCAACCGCGCCCGGACGCCCGCAGCUGAGCGCGCCGGCGGAACACUCAGAGCGCACGCGCAGGGGGCGGGUCUUGUAACCGCCGUCGCGGCGGCCGCACGAGGACGUGGUCCCGCCCCAACUGCUGUUCAGCGGCGCGGGGCGGCGAGACCGAGGUGGUGAUUCUAUUUCUGAGCUGAGGCCACUUUGACAUCCAUCCCUCAGGGCAUGCUUCUUGAUGGCUUUCUGACCUCAUUCAGCAUGGAGGUAGAUUCCAGGUUUGCCCGGCUAUGGACACCUCCAACACAUCCCUCAAUUGCUCUUGGGCAAAUCGCAGGGCACGUGAACAUUCCAUUGGCGGAGGAAGGACCAGCUGGCUUCAACACGGCCACCAUAACACACCAGGACCGUCACCCGGGAGCAGGGGGACGGACGACCAGCAAAGUCAUCCUGAAUCAAUAACUGGCGUAGCGUGUCAGGAGGUGACCAUAGAAUCAGAAGGGGAACGGACCUCAUCACACUCACAAGGACGAUCGUCGUCCAAAGUGGAAAAUAACAAGUGUUGUCAAGGAUGUGGAGAGACUGGAAGCCUCGUGCACCGCCGGUGGGAAUGCAAAACGGGGCAGUGGCCGUGGAAAGAAGUUUGGCGGGUCCUCAAAAAGUUAAACAUAGAAUUAUUUUAUGAGCCAGAAACUCUGCUUCUGGGUGUGUACCCAGAAUAAUUGAAUGUCGGGUCUCAAAGAGAUUCUUGUACAUGUAUGUUCACAGCAGCAUCGCCCAAAGGUAGAAACACCCCAAGUGUCCAGAAACAGAGGCGUGGAUAAACACUGUGGUCCAUGCACACGGAGGAAUGUUUCUCAGCCAUAAAGAGCACUGAAGCUCUGAUACAUGUCAUAUCAUGGAUGAACCUCGAAAACAUCGUGCCGAGGGAAAAAAGCCAGAUACAAAAGGGCACAUCGUGUGUGAUUCCAUGUGUAUGGAAUGUCCAGAACAGACAAACCCAUGGACACAGAGAGCAGGUUAGUGGGUGCCAGGGGCUGGGGGAGGGGGAGCUGGAUGACAGCUAAUUGGGAUGGGGCAUUUGUGUGGGACCAAUAACAAUUAUCCGAGGGGUAUCUGGGUGGCUGCUCAGUCAGUUGACUGGCCAAAUCUUGAUUUUGGCUCAGGUCAUGAUCUCAGGGUCAUGAGAUCCAGUCCUGAGCCAGGCUCCAUACUGUAAGAGUCUGCUUGAGAUUUUCUCUCUCUCUCUCCCUGUGCCCCUCCCCCUGCUUGGGUGCUCUCUCUCUCUCUCUCUCUAAAAUAAAUAAAUAAAUCUUUUAAAAAAUCA
Molecule: long non-coding RNA, 1356 nt
Filed under: Vulpes vulpes (red fox)
Lineage: Eukaryota; Metazoa; Chordata; Mammalia; Carnivora; Canidae
Description: lncRNA (ENSVVUG00000007815.1)
Source: RNAcentral